Molecule: ribosomal RNA, 473 nt
Filed under: uncultured bacterium
Lineage: Bacteria
Description: bacterial SSU rRNA
Rfam family: Bacterial small subunit ribosomal RNA
Source: RNAcentral
ACUCCUACGGGAGGCAGCAGUAGGGAAUCUUCCACAAUGGGCGCAAGCCUGAUGGAGCAACACCGCGUGAGUGAAGAAGGGUUUCGGCUCGUAAAGCUCUGUUGUUAAAGAAGAACACGUAUGAGAGUAACUGUUCAUACGUUGACGGUAUUUAACCAGAAAGUCACGGCUAACUACGUGCCAGCAGCCGCGGUAAUACGUAGGUGGCAAGCGUUAUCCGGAUUUAUUGGGCGUAAAGAGAGUGCAGGCGGUUUUCUAAGUCUGAUGUGAAAGCCUUCGGCUUAACCGGAGAAGUGCAUCGGAAACUGGAUAACUUGAGUGCAGAAGAGGGUAGUGGAACUCCAUGUGUAGCGGUGGAAUGCGUAGAUAUAUGGAAGAACACCAGUGGCGAAGGCGGCUACCUGGUCUGCAACUGACGCUGAGACUCGAAAGCAUGGGUAGCGAACAGGAUUAGAUACCCUGGUAGGCUAGCG